Molecule: ribosomal RNA, 252 nt
Filed under: uncultured bacterium
Lineage: Bacteria
Description: partial 16S ribosomal RNA
Rfam family: Bacterial small subunit ribosomal RNA
Source: RNAcentral
UACGUAGGGUGCGAGCGUUGUCCGGAAUUAUUGGGCGUAAAGAGCUCGUAGGCGGCUUGUCGCGUCGGAUGUGAAAGCCCGGGGCUUAACCCCGGGUCUGCAUUCGAUACGGGCAGGCUAGAGUUCGGUAGGGGAGAUCGGAAUUCCUGGUGUAGCGGUGAAAUGCGCAGAUAUCCGGAGGAACACCAACAGCGAAGGCAGUGUCCUGGGAAGUGUCUGACGCUCAGGUGCGAAAGCCAGGGGAGCGAACGG